AUUCCCUCGUCACUUCCUUUUAAGAGAAACAUAACUUCAAGUAGAGAUUUAUCUGCCAAUGAGAAAAUGAAAGGUCAGGUAAACAUGUAAACUCUUUAAAUCUUUUUUUCUCGUCUUUCUUGCUUCAUGCAUAUGUUUUGAGCAACAACAGAAACAAAACUUCAGGAGAAAAUUCAGUCACCAAGAACAAAUGAUGGACCAGGUAAAUAAACAAACUCUUUUUCUCUUCUUCUCGUGUCUUCUACCUUAUGCAUAUGUCUC
RNAcentral lists this unclassified non-coding RNA (261 nucleotides) under Arabidopsis thaliana (thale cress). The record is from RNAcentral. Lineage: Eukaryota; Viridiplantae; Streptophyta; Magnoliopsida; Brassicales; Brassicaceae.